UACGUAGGGUGCGAGCGUUGUCCGGAUUUAUUGGGCGUAAAGAGCGUGUAGGCGGUUCGGUAGGUCCGUUGUGAAAACUCGAGCUCAACCUCGAGACGCCGAUGGAAACCCUCGAACUAGAGUCCGGAAGAGGAGAGUGGAAUUCCUGGUGUAGCGGUGAAAUGCGCAGAUAUCAGGAAGAACACCCGUGGCUAAGGCGGCUCUCUAGUACGGUACUGACGCUGAGACGCGAAAGCGUGGGGGAGCGAACAGG
RNAcentral lists this ribosomal RNA (253 nucleotides) under uncultured bacterium. Its description in RNAcentral is "partial 16S ribosomal RNA". It matches the Rfam family "Bacterial small subunit ribosomal RNA", at positions 524 to 776 of the family's 1533-position model. The record is from RNAcentral.